UGUGUCCUUUUUGCAAUUUUUAUGAUUGCAUUUUCUUGUCUUGGUUUGGCUAACUCAUCAAGCAAUGUGAAGUGGAGAAAGCAGAAUAAGAAGAGCAACUGUGAUGUGUACCAAGGGAGUUGGCUCUACGAUGAGUCGUACCCUAUCUAUGAUUCAUCUGCAUGCCCUUUCAUUCGCAAGGAAUUUGAUUGCAUCAAAUAUGGUCGCUCUGAUCAACUCUACCUUCACUACAGAUGGCAGCCCACUGCCUGUGACUUGCCAAGGUUUGAUGGCCAAAAAUUUCUAGAGAGUUUUCAGGGGAAGAAGAUUAUGUUCAUAGGGGACUCUUUAAGUCUAAAUCAGUUUGAAUCGCUAUUAUGCUUGCUUCAUGCUGCUGUGCCUAACUCCAAUAUCAGGGAAGAGAAAAAUAACUCUUUUCCUACUGUGAUUUUCGAGGACUAUGAGGUAUCGAUAAUGUUGUUUCAUUCUCUAUUACUAGUAGACAUUGAACAGGAAGAUAUGGGUAGAGUUCUGAAACUUGAUUCCCUCAAGGAUGGCAACAUAUGGAAGGAUAUGGAUGUUCUGGUUUUCAACACUUGGCACUGGUGGUACAGAAGAGGACCUAAGCAACCAUGGGAUUUUGUUCAAGUUGGUGACACCAUUCUUAAAGACAUGGAUCGUAUGGUUGCUUUUCAUAAAGCCUUAACAACAUGGGCAAAAUGGGUUGAUUCUGAUGUGGAUACAAGUAAAACCCAUGUCAUUUUUCAAGGAAUUUCUCCUUCCCAUUACAAGUAAGUUACUCUUGAUAAUGAACUCAUUAUAGCAGCAUAAUAUAUUCUUCUGAUGUGUGUGUUGAAUCAGUGGGACAGCAUGGAAUGAGCCAGAAGUGACGAACUGUUCAAAGGAAACACAGCCAAUAAGUGGAUCGAAUUACUCUAGUGGUUUGCCAUUAGCAUUAUAUGUAGUGGAAGAUGUGUUGAGUAGAAUCAAGAAACCAGUUCAUUUGCUCAAUAUAACAACACUUUCACAGCUGAGAAAGGAUGCACAUCCAAGCUCUUAUAAUGGUUUUAAGGCCAUGGACUGCACCCAUUGGUGCAUAGCCGGGCUUCCAGACACUUGGAAUGAACUUCUCUAUAAAGCUGUUAUCAAUCAAUAGGAAGACAAAAUUUAAUAGACAGUUUCCUUAGUCACUGAAAGUAUAGCUAGCCAGGCCAGCCAACAAUCUCACGAAGUGACAUACUCAGUGAAAGCAAUUGGGUUUAGUAGUCCUGUGGUGGAAGGCCUACCUCAUGGCGCAACAGAUUAGGAAUUUAAAUCCUUUUAAGAAUUUUCAAAGUGCAUUUUUAUGGCCGGAUUUAAUUUGAGUAAUUUUUUUUCCUUGAUGGGAGCAUUAAUUAUUUCAACUUUUCUUUGUGUAUACUUCAGGUUUU
Molecule: unclassified non-coding RNA, 1409 nt
Filed under: Hevea brasiliensis (rubber tree)
Lineage: Eukaryota; Viridiplantae; Streptophyta; Magnoliopsida; Malpighiales; Euphorbiaceae
Source: RNAcentral